Molecule: ribosomal RNA, 434 nt
Filed under: uncultured Lachnospiraceae bacterium
Lineage: Bacteria; Bacillati; Bacillota; Clostridia; Lachnospirales; Lachnospiraceae
Description: partial 16S ribosomal RNA
Rfam family: Bacterial small subunit ribosomal RNA
Source: RNAcentral
ACGGAAGGCAGCAGUGGGGAAUAUUGCACAAUGGGGGAAACCCUGAUGCAGCGACGCCGCGUGAGUGAAGAAGUAUUUCGGUAUGUAAAGCUCUAUCAGCAGGAAAGAAAAUGACGGUACCUGACUAAGAAGCCCCGGCUAACUACGUGCCAGCAGCCGCGGUAAUACGUAGGGGGCAAGCGUUAUCCGGAUUUACUGGGUGUAAAGGGAGCGUAGACGGCUUUGCAAGUCUGAAGUGAAAGCCCGGGGCUCAACCCCGGAACUGCUUUGGAAACUGUUAAGCUAGAGUGCAGGAGAGGUAAGUGGAAUUCCUAGUGUAGCGGUGAAAUGCGUAAAUAUUAGGAGGAACACCAGUGGCGAAGGCGGCUUACUGGACUGUAACUGACGUUGAGGCUCGAAGGCGUGGGGAGCAAACAGGAUUAGAUACCCUGGUA